AGUGAACGCUGGCGGUAGGCCUAACACAUGCAAGUCGAACGGCAGCACAGUAAGAGCUUGCUCUUACGGGUGGCGAGUGGCGGACGGGUGAGGAAUACAUCGGAAUCUACUUUUUCGUGGGGGAUAACGUAGGGAAACUUACGCUAAUACCGCAUACGAUCUACGGGUGAAAGCAGGGGAUCUUCGGACCUUGCGCGAUUGAAUGAGCCGAUGUCGGAUUAGCUAGUUGGCGGGGUAAAGGCCCACCAAGGCGACGAUCCGUAGCUGGUCUGAGAGGAUGAUCAGCCACACUGGAACUGAGACACGGUCCAGACUCCUACGGGAGGCAGCGGUGGGGAAUAUUGGACAAUGGGCGCAAGCCUGAUCCAGCCAUACCGCGUGGGUGAAGAAGGCCUUCGGGUUGUAAAGCCCUUUUGUUGGGAAAGAAAAGCAGCAGGUUAAUACCCCGCUGUUCUGACGGUACCCAAAGAAUAAGCACCGGCUAACUUCGUG
RNAcentral lists this ribosomal RNA (492 nucleotides) under uncultured bacterium. Its description in RNAcentral is "partial 16S ribosomal RNA". It matches the Rfam family "Bacterial small subunit ribosomal RNA", at positions 29 to 507 of the family's 1533-position model. The record is from RNAcentral.